CGCUUCUCAAUGAGCUCAUUUCUGCCACUGGUGGCAGCUGUUGGAGUCACAGGAGAAGAAGAGCCAGAUUCCCAGGUGAGCCCUACGAGCUUCCCUUCUGCCAGUGGCGGUUAGUUCUGUUGCCCGUGAGACAUUU
This 136-nucleotide small nucleolar RNA is filed under the name Echinops telfairi (small Madagascar hedgehog). RNAcentral's name for it is "Small nucleolar RNA SNORA75 (ENSETEG00000026063.1)". The record is from RNAcentral. Lineage: Eukaryota; Metazoa; Chordata; Mammalia; Afrosoricida; Tenrecidae.